Molecule: transfer RNA, 74 nt
Filed under: Fibrobacter sp.
Lineage: Bacteria; Pseudomonadati; Fibrobacterota; Fibrobacteria; Fibrobacterales; Fibrobacteraceae
Also listed under: 1 other name
Description: tRNA-Pro
Rfam family: tRNA
About the family: Transfer RNA (tRNA) molecules are approximately 80 nucleotides in length. Their secondary structure includes four short double-helical elements and three loops (D, anti-codon, and T loops). Further hydrogen bonds mediate the characteristic L-shaped molecular structure. tRNAs have two regions of fundamental functional importance: the anti-codon, which is responsible for specific mRNA codon recognition, and the 3' end, to which the tRNAs corresponding amino acid is attached (by aminoacyl-tRNA synthetases). tRNAs cope with the degeneracy of the genetic code in two manners: having more than one tRNA (with a specific anti-codon) for a particular amino acid; and 'wobble' base-pairing, i.e. permitting non-standard base-pairing at the 3rd anti-codon position.
Source: RNAcentral
CGGAGUGUAGCGCAGUCUGGUAGCGCACUUGGUUCGGGACUAAGUGGUCGGAGGUUCAAAUCCUCUCACUCCGA